This is a long non-coding RNA of Pseudophryne corroboree (corroboree frog), 659 nucleotides long. RefSeq lists it as uncharacterized. NCBI's taxonomy places the organism in Eukaryota, Metazoa, Chordata, Amphibia, Anura, Myobatrachidae. The transcript has 2 exons. The record is from RefSeq and is a predicted model, not a curated record.
UGGUAGCGACAGUUGGUCUGAGGAAAGGGUUAGAAGAAGAACUCAUGUGGCGGCCAUCUUGUGAGGUGAAGACAUCAGGCCUGAGUAAAGACACUUUGGGUUAUCCCAUUAAAUCUGAAUACCAGUGCCAUGCCGAGUGGUGUAUCUACUACACACUUCCUUUCCCCCGAAUCUGUUAUGUGAUAUCAUCAUUGGAAGCAACCAUGAUGCUUGAUUGACUGAAAUAUCCAGAUACUCCAUUGCAACAAUCAAUUGGGCAAAUUAUACGGAAGGAAACGAGCUAUUUGCCAUCGUGACCAGAAAGAAGAAUGUACAAAGAAAGAUUUCGGAGAAUGUAAAUGACUGUAUGCCAGAGAGACUUGUAGAGACCCAGCAAUACCAUGGGAGUUACAGACUGAUGUGAUGACAAAAGACACAUUUUAUAAAAGCGCAUUAGGCUGGGAAUUUAAAUCCAAUCUCUGGAAGUAGUACUGUUAAACAAUUAUGGAUUUAAGGAGCCUGAGCAGAAUACAAAGCAGUCGCUGACUCCUUGAGUAAAGCCUUCUGAUAACUAUUGGAUGGUGCAGACGAGGAAGGUUGGUGUUACUGUUGAUACAAAGGCGCUCUUUUCAAGUGGUUUGUCGGCUUUCAUUAAAAUGCAUGUUUAUGGAUUUACUGUA